GAAUCGCUAGUAAUCGUGGAUCAGAAUGGCACGGUGAAUACGUUCCCGGGCCUUGACACACCGCCCGUCACACCAUGGGAGUGGACUGCACCAGAAGUGGUUAGCCUAACUUCGGAGGGCGAUCACCACGGUGUGGUUCAUGACUGGGGUGAAGUCGUAACAAGGUAGCCGUAGGGGAACCUGCGGCUGGAUCACCUCCUUA
This 202-nucleotide ribosomal RNA is filed under the name Halomonas sp. S2-5. RNAcentral describes it as "partial 16S ribosomal RNA". It matches the Rfam family "Bacterial small subunit ribosomal RNA", at positions 1329 to 1533 of the family's 1533-position model. Lineage: Bacteria; Pseudomonadati; Pseudomonadota; Gammaproteobacteria; Oceanospirillales; Halomonadaceae. The record is from RNAcentral.